UACACUCCUGCGGGAGGCAGCAGUGGGGAAUAUUGCACAAUGGGCGCAAGCCUGAUGCAGCCAUGCCGCGUGUAUGAAGAAGGCCUUCGGGUUGUAAAGUACUUUCAGCGGGGAGGAAGGCAAUACGGUUAAUAACCGUGUUGAUUGACGUUACCCGCAGAAGAAGCACCGGCUAACUCCGUGCCAGCAGCCGCGGUAAUACGGAGGGUGCAAGCGUUAAUCGGAAUUACUGGGCGUAAAGCGCACGCAGGCGGUCUGUCAAGUCGGAUGUGAAAUCCCCGGGCUCAACCUGGGAACUGCAUUCGAAACUGGCAGGCUUGAGUCUUGUAGAGGGGGGUAGAAUUCCAGGUGUAGCGGUGAAAUGCGUAGAGAUCUGGAGGAAUACCGGUGGCGAAGGCGGCCCCCUGGACAAAGACUGACGCUCAGGUGCGAAAGCGUGGGGAGCAAACAGGAUUAGAUACCCUUGUAGUCC
This 472-nucleotide ribosomal RNA is filed under the name uncultured organism. RNAcentral's name for it is "partial 16S ribosomal RNA". It matches the Rfam family "Bacterial small subunit ribosomal RNA", at positions 332 to 796 of the family's 1533-position model. The record is from RNAcentral.